This is a long non-coding RNA of Etheostoma spectabile (orangethroat darter), 191 nucleotides long. RefSeq lists it as uncharacterized. The transcript has 3 exons. NCBI's taxonomy places the organism in Eukaryota, Metazoa, Chordata, Actinopteri, Perciformes, Percidae. The record is from RefSeq and is a predicted model, not a curated record.
UUUGGACAUAAGAGCUUAUUUUCAAGUUAGCCAGUGUGUUUUUUAUCAGUGGAGAGAGUUUAACACUUUUCAUCCAGUUCUUCCUUCCAGUUGCAGAGUUCACUGGUGCUAGGCUAGCGCAAGUCAACAGCAUCUGCCAGCCUUCCAUUAAAAACAGUUUUACCCACUCCACAGAACACCCAAGGCACACA